This 230-nucleotide ribosomal RNA is filed under the name uncultured bacterium. RNAcentral's name for it is "partial 16S ribosomal RNA". It matches the Rfam family "Bacterial small subunit ribosomal RNA", at positions 108 to 339 of the family's 1533-position model. The record is from RNAcentral.
GAGUAACGCGUAGGAAUCUACCAAAUAGCGUGGGAUAGCCCGGAGAAAUCCGGAUUAAUACCGCAUAAUCUCUACGGAGUAAAGAGGGCCUCUAUUUAUAAGCUUUCACUAUUUGAUGAGCCUGCGUAAGAUUAGCUUGUUGGUGAGGUAAAAGCUCACCAAGGCGACGAUCUUUAGCUGGUCUGAGAGGGUGACCGGCCACACUGGGACUGAGACACGGCCCAGACUCC